CUAUCCAAUUCCCACCGGCCGGCGAACUGCCCAUUCUCAAUUACUCCGGUGGCGAAGCGGGAAGGGUUGGCGGCGGUCUAAGAGAGCUCUCUCGUCCAGCCAUCACUAUUACUCGAUAAUAUGGAUCAUUCCUCAUAUCUUGAUUUUCUUCCUCGAACAUUUUGAAAGAAUGCUAAAUGGCCAAGUUUUCCAUUUCGGAUCGGAGAUAUGGAUACUUUUCCGACUGUAAAUGGCCUUCUGAAGCAGUUCAUGUCCACCACGUUGUUGUUCUUAGGAAUACGACUGCUGAAAAGGGUUUCCUCUUCUGCGUUUUUGCAGUCCUUGCCUUAUGUUUUUUCCUACUCAAGGGCGAAUCGAUCUUUGUUGCCUUAUGGUGCUUGGUCUUGAAUGUAUUCUUUUUCAAGAAGUUGUUCAAGGGAAGGGUUGAGAAAGAGAGUGUUAUUGUUAUGCCAAAUUUUGGAGUCCAACUUGAAACUCACUUUCGGAGAUUCUCCUCGGUGCUUACUAUGUCCUUUGUCUCUUAUUGUAGUGGAAAAGUCAUUCGUCGGUUUGUUCCUGUUGGUAAAAUUUUAAAGCCAGUUCUCCUUGAAUGCCUAACUCCAGUUACUUGUUACUGGAGUCUGUCUUUGAUUGUAAAGGGGGAAGACGAACUAUUGUUGGUUUUCAAGGAAUUACGUCCACCCGUGAAAAUGCUGGUCCCUGUCUGGAAGGCUUUGUGCACAGCUACCGGUGAUGAUAAAAAUGGAGAUGAUUGUUCAUAACGCAAUGGGCAAUUGUAGCUCCUGAGUAUCAUGUGAAUUUGCCAACUCAAUUUCUAUCUUUACUCAUGUACAUGGUGCCAUUAUGGUUUAGUUCGAGCCUACGAAGGAGUUUUAGAGCUUGAACCAGCUUAUAACAAGAAUUCUUAGAUAUUCUUCAUUCAUUUUUCUAUUUUCAUACAUUUAAGUUUGCUUUUACUUAUUAUUUUAUUUUGUAUCUUUCUUUUUAAAGAAUACAUUCAUUGUGAUUUUAAUAUUUAAAUGUUAGUAGAACAAAUUUAGUAUAUAGAACAAAAAAACUAAACUGUUGUCAAAUUUUGUUUUCAAUACAAUGAUUGAGGUGUGAAGAUAUGAAAAUUUGGCUCA
Molecule: RNA transcript, 1124 nt
Organism: Cucumis sativus (cucumber)
Lineage: Eukaryota; Viridiplantae; Streptophyta; Magnoliopsida; Cucurbitales; Cucurbitaceae
Exons: 6
Source: RefSeq, a predicted model, not a curated record